GGAGUUGUGGCUCUGUGGUAGAGCACUCCCCUAGAAUGGGUGAGGCACUGGGUUUGAUCCUCAGCACCACCU
RNAcentral lists this transfer RNA (72 nucleotides) under Ictidomys tridecemlineatus (thirteen-lined ground squirrel). RNAcentral's name for it is "Spermophilus tridecemlineatus (thirteen-lined ground squirrel) tRNA". It matches the Rfam family "tRNA". Rfam says of the family: Transfer RNA (tRNA) molecules are approximately 80 nucleotides in length. Lineage: Eukaryota; Metazoa; Chordata; Mammalia; Rodentia; Sciuridae. The record is from Rfam by way of RNAcentral.